Molecule: small RNA, 111 nt
Filed under: Vibrio anguillarum
Lineage: Bacteria; Pseudomonadati; Pseudomonadota; Gammaproteobacteria; Vibrionales; Vibrionaceae
Description: qrr2
Rfam family: Qrr RNA
About the family: This family represents a set of small RNAs (the Qrr RNAs) that are thought to be involved in the regulation of quorum sensing in Vibrio species. It is believed that these RNAs, guided by a protein, Hfq, can mediate the destabilisation of the quorum-sensing master regulators LuxR/HapR mRNAs.
Source: RNAcentral
CGACCCUUCUUAAGCCGAGGGUCACCUAGCCAACUGACGUUGUUAGUGAAUACUCUUUGUUCACAAUUUACAUAGGCCAAUCGCGAAUAUUGCGGUUGGCUUUUUUGUUUU